RNAcentral lists this ribosomal RNA (464 nucleotides) under Vreelandella stevensii. RNAcentral's name for it is "partial 16S ribosomal RNA". It matches the Rfam family "Bacterial small subunit ribosomal RNA", at positions 339 to 795 of the family's 1533-position model. Lineage: Bacteria; Pseudomonadati; Pseudomonadota; Gammaproteobacteria; Oceanospirillales; Halomonadaceae. The record is from RNAcentral.
CUACGGGUGGCAGCAGUGGGGAAUAUUGGACAAUGGGCGAAAGCCUGAUCCAGCCAUGCCGCGUGUGUGAAGAAGGCCUUCGGGUUGUAAAGCACUUUCAGUGGGGAAGAAAGCCUUGGGGCUAAUACCCUCGAGGAAGGACAUCACCCACAGAAGAAGCACCGGCUAACUCCGUGCCAGCAGCCGCGGUAAUACGGAGGGUGCGAGCGUUAAUCGGAAUUACUGGGCGUAAAGCGCGCGUAGGCGGUCUGAUAAGCCGGUUGUGAAAGCCCCGGGCUCAACCUGGGAACGGCAUCCGGAACUGUCAGGCUAGAGUGCAGGAGAGGAAGGUAGAAUUCCCGGUGUAGCGGUGAAAUGCGUAGAGAUCGGGAGGAAUACCAGUGGAGAAGGCGGCCUUCUGGACUGACACUGACGCUGAGGUGCGAAAGCGUGGGUAGCAAACAGGAUUAGAUACCCCGGUAGUC